Molecule: ribosomal RNA, 490 nt
Filed under: uncultured bacterium
Lineage: Bacteria
Description: bacterial SSU rRNA
Rfam family: Bacterial small subunit ribosomal RNA
Source: RNAcentral
AGUGAACGCUGGCGGCAGGCCUAAUACAUGCAAGUCGAACGGCAGCACAGUGGAGCUUGCUCCAUGGGUGGCGAGUGGCGGACGGGUGAGGAAUACAUGGGAAUUUGCCCCGUCGUGGGGGAUAACGUAUGGAAACGUACGCUAAUACCGCCUGCGCCCUUCGGGGGAAAGUCGGGGACCGCAAGGCCUGACGCGAUUGGAUGAGCCCAUGUUUGAUUAGCUAGUUGGCGGGGUAACGGCCCCCCAAGGCGACGAUCGAUAGCUGGUUUGAGAGGAUGAUCAGCCCCCCUGGAAAUGAGACACGGUCCCGACUCCUACGGGAGGCAGCCGUAGGGAAUAUUGGACAAUGGGCGCAAGCCUGAUCCAGCCCUGCCGCGUGAGUGAAGAAGGCCCUCGGGUUGUAAAGCUUUUUUGUUGGGGAAGAAAAGCAGUUGGUUAAUACCCGAUUGUUUUGACGGUACCCAAAGAAUAAGCACCGGCUAACUUCGUG